This 66-nucleotide transfer RNA is filed under the name Eudocima phalonia. Its description in RNAcentral is "tRNA-Cys". The record is from RNAcentral. Lineage: Eukaryota; Metazoa; Arthropoda; Insecta; Lepidoptera; Erebidae.
AGCUUUAUAUUCAUUAAUGAUAUAAAAUUGCAAAUUUUAAGGAGUAAUUAAUUAUUACUAAGGCUU